This 120-nucleotide microRNA precursor is filed under the name Myotis brandtii (Brandt's bat). RNAcentral describes it as "mir-9193 microRNA precursor family". It matches the Rfam family "mir-9193 microRNA precursor family". Lineage: Eukaryota; Metazoa; Chordata; Mammalia; Chiroptera; Vespertilionidae. The record is from Rfam by way of RNAcentral.
CAUGCACCAGUGGGGUCCCUCGGCCUGGCUUGUGCCCUCUUGCAUCCCUUGGGGGAAUGUCAGACUGCAGGUUUUGGCCCAAUCCCUGCAGGCCAGGCCGAGGGACCCCACUGGUGCAUG